Molecule: ribosomal RNA, 254 nt
Filed under: uncultured bacterium
Lineage: Bacteria
Description: partial 16S ribosomal RNA
Rfam family: Bacterial small subunit ribosomal RNA
Source: RNAcentral
UACGAAGGGGGGCUAGCGUUGCUCGGAAUCACUGGGCGUAAAGCGCACGUAGGCGGAUGUGUCAGUCAGGGGUGAAAUCCCGGGGCUCAACCUCGGAACUGCCUUUGAUACAGCACGUCUCGAGUCCGGAAGAGGUGGGUGGAAUUCCUAGUGUAGAGGUGAAAUUCGUAGAUAUUAGGAAGAACACCGGUGGCGAAGGCGGCCCACUGGUCCGGUACUGACGCUGAGGUGCGAAAGCGUGGGGAGCAAACAGG